Molecule: small nuclear RNA, 139 nt
Filed under: Sphenodon punctatus (tuatara)
Lineage: Eukaryota; Metazoa; Chordata; Lepidosauria; Sphenodontia; Sphenodontidae
Description: U4 spliceosomal RNA (ENSSPUG00000009845.1)
Rfam family: U4 spliceosomal RNA
About the family: U4 small nuclear RNA (U4 snRNA) is a component of the major U2-dependent spliceosome. The structure of U4 snRNA from yeast and human has been reported.
Source: Rfam by way of RNAcentral
AGCUUUGCGCAGUGGCAGUAUCGUAGCCCAUGAGGUUUAAUUGAGUCGUGAUUAUUGCUAGUUGAAAACUUUACCCAAUACCCCGCUACACUGGCUUGAAAGAGUCUGUGUUAGCAAUUUUUGUCAGUCUUUGCAGAGA